UACGGAGGAUGCGAGCGUUAUCCGGAUUUAUUGGGUUUAAAGGGUGCGUAGGCGGAACAUUAAGUCAGCGGUAAAAUCGAGGGGCUCAACCCCUUUAAGCCGUUGAAACUGGUGAUCUUGAGUGGGCGAGAAGUAUGCGGAAUGCGUGGUGUAGCGGUGAAAUGCAUAGAUAUAACUUAGAACACCGAUAGCGAAGGCAGCUUACCAGACUGAGUCUGACGCUGAUGCACGAGAGCAUGGGUAGCGAACAGG
This 252-nucleotide ribosomal RNA is filed under the name uncultured Bacteroidales bacterium. RNAcentral's name for it is "partial 16S ribosomal RNA". It matches the Rfam family "Bacterial small subunit ribosomal RNA", at positions 524 to 776 of the family's 1533-position model. Lineage: Bacteria; Pseudomonadati; Bacteroidota; Bacteroidia; Bacteroidales. The record is from RNAcentral.